Long non-coding RNA from Helianthus annuus (common sunflower), 1814 nucleotides. RefSeq lists it as uncharacterized. The record is from RefSeq and is a predicted model, not a curated record. Lineage: Eukaryota; Viridiplantae; Streptophyta; Magnoliopsida; Asterales; Asteraceae. The transcript has 6 exons.
UUUAGUGUAUAUGUAUAUGCCAUAGGGCACCAGGUGUAGCAUUUAGUUCUCAGCAAAUUCCAUAUUAGCAGUUUAAUCAAUUAAAACGAGGUUGGUUGCUAUCUUGGUGAUAAAUUAUAUACAUAUAUAUAAUAUAUUCUAAACCUAAUCGCAUCAGCAAUGUGUUUUUUUUUAUCAAGGAUACAUAUCAAGUUUUGUAGGCUUCUAUCUUUUUCCUUUGACCUUCACGUUAAACCUCUUACACAUUCACAUUGUUACCCCAACCACUGGAUUUACCAAUCUCAAGUACGUCGUGCAGCAAGUGCCUACCCACGUCGUGAAAGAACUCAUCAUGCACGAGGUGGUGCUUGGGGGUGGCCAGGAUGCAUCUGCUGUUACCACAACCAUCAUCGUGCGGGGAAGUUUGAAGCCAAAUUUUAUGACAAGUUGAUGGAUGAUGGUCUGAGUUCAGUAUUAGCCUACACAGUAUCCAACUUAUGAAGAAUUGAGUAUUGGGAAGAUUAAGUUUAAAGCUUUCGAUUUGGGAGGGCAUCAGAUCGUUGUCCUAUUCUGAAAAGAUUAUUACGCGAAGGUAUAGUUUUACUAUGUUUAGCUUUUUAUGAUCUAUAGGGCUUUGUUUUUGUAAUUGAAAUGUAUGCAUAAUAUUUUCCUGCUUAGUAUUUAACAAAUUGACCUGAUGAAUUUUCAUGGAAUUAGAGGGAGAGUAUAUGAUAUGGAAUUUUUGGUAAUCUUCACUUUUGUGGAAAUAUAAAUUUCAAAAUAAAAAAAAUGAAACCCUAGGUGGGUCAUCAAUCAAUUUAUGGUACAGUUGGUCAAAGAGGUCAUUUUUUGGUAAGAUGGGUUAAGCAUGACAUUUUUUUUGGCACAAGUCAGGUUGGGUGGGAUCAUCAUUUCGUCAGCUAUGAGUAAAAACAUGGUGAAUUAGAAUAACUUCUAUUGUAUUGGUACGCAUUCUUAAAUGUUUUCUACUCUAAAGUAGCCAUUUUUGUUUGCUAUUCAUUUGCACGAUAUUGAACAAGGGAAGACUAGAAAAGGAGAAAUAUGUUUUGAUCAAGUUUCUCUCAUACCCAUGGAUGCAUACAAGGUUGUAUAAUUGUAUUCGGGUUUAUGUCAGAUAUAAAAUUGAUUAGGUUCCUUAAAAGAUUUUGGAAUUAGCUAUCGUGAAGUUGCACUUCCAAAUGAUGGAGGGCUUGAUUGGGAUGCUCACUUAAAAGCCUCACACAAAAUGUGUUUUUAGGACAAAGAUCAUGGAGUAUUCUUAACAUAAAAGUUCAUGUGUGAAUGAAAUUUCUAGAGCAAUACACAUCAUCAAGCUCCUAGCAUAUCCUCCCGGUUCGGGGCUUUCGAAUAUUAGAAAGGAAGGCAUUUAUGCUAUUUUUUUUGUUAAUGGCGUGGUGACUUUAAGUUGCUUGAAACGACAAGAAUUUUAAAGAGCGCAACACCUCACAGUUCAGAAUAAAAAAUGACAUAAAAGAACAUCCUUUUGGUAGACGUUGAAAAGAUCGAAGGUUACGGGUAGUAAUCUCGCAAACUGGAACGGGUUUGCAAGUAUUGAUUUCCAGCUAGCUGUGUUUUUUUUCUUUCUAAUGGUGUAUGCUGGAGUGGUUUGCUCAAUGAGGCAGUGGUUGUAUUUUUUUUGUUUGUAGGUGUGUAGAUGGAUGUUUGUUUGUUUUUCUUUCUUUGCGGCGUCUUUUGUUGGGCUGUUUGGCUUAGCUGCUUGCAAAGCUAAGUUUUGUUUUGGUAGUAAGAAUAAUCUUCUUUUGUUGUUAAAAAAAAUAUAUUAUCGCAACAAGCUAUGUGUUUAUGUAGGGUCA